This 3569-nucleotide long non-coding RNA is filed under the name Homo sapiens (human). RNAcentral's name for it is "neuronal hypoxia inducible, placenta associated, transcript variant 3 (NHIP)". Lineage: Eukaryota; Metazoa; Chordata; Mammalia; Primates; Hominidae. The record is from RNAcentral.
GUCUUGCAGGCUGGGGUCCCAGGUGAGAGAUGCCAGCAGGGAGCUCUAGAUGGGGAACUGGGUGAGCCUGGCUCGGUAAGGGCGUGCUCAGAACACCCCAUCCCCGAACACGGUCUUGUGUGAUAAAAUGUCACGCAAGAAGAAUCUGAAACCGCGAGAAGAGGAGGACACGGCCAGACUGCACCGAACCCCGGCACCUCUGUGGGGAAAAGCAGGUCAGGCUGAGCGGGGCCGGCGGGGACACGCGCUCCUGGGCUUCUCCAGAGUCUGCCGGGGCCGGGCCCGGGACCGAGGCUGGGACGCGCUGUGCAGUCCCACCCCUCACACCCCUCGCACGCCUGGAAACACCCUCGGGGUAACACAAGCCGGGGUUGAGUUUCUUGAAGAGAAGCUGGCUGCAUCCUGGAGCCAGGGAAAGAGGAGCACAGGGGCCAAGCGGUCCAGGGCCACGGAGGAGCAGGACCCCUGGGGAAAGGCCCGGGUCUAGGCCGGGGCCAGGGGACCGUGGUGGAGACCUCAAAAAUGGCAGAACACGGAAGCAGGGCGAGAAAAGUAAACGUAGUCCUUGCGGCAGUUUGAAAUACACGCGGGUAAACGCUGGGUGACUCCGCCCGGAUGCAGAGUGGGGGUCUGUGUCUCUCCCCACAGGCUGCAGGGACCGGGCUCUGGGUAACCAGCAGAAGGUAACAGAACGAGGCUGCUUUUCCUCCAGGCUGUUCUGGUGUCCGCGCGUGGCUUGUGCGCUGACUCCUGACUUGGAGCGCCGCGUGGCCAGAGAAAUCUGGGUGCCUCCAGGCCACCAUGGUGAGAGGAGAGGCCACCGCACGAACGGAAGAAGCGAUGGAGACGGUCUUUACGACCUAAGAACAGAAAGAGUUUCUUAUACACAAUCCGAAAAGUAAAAAUUGAUUGAUUGAUUGAUUGAGAUGGAAUCCCACUCUGUCGUCCAGGUUAGAGUGCAAUGGCUUGAUCUCGGCUCAUUGCAACCUCCGCCUCCCGGGUUCAAGCGAUUCUCCUGCCUCAGUCUCCCGAGUAGCUGGGAUUAUAGGCGCCCGCCACCACGACUGGCUAAUUUUUAUAUUUUUAGUAGAGACGCAGUUUCACCGUGUUGACCAGGCUGGUCUUGAACCCCUGACCUCAGGUGAUCCGCCUGCCUCGGUCUCCCAAAGUGCUGGGAUUACAGGCGUGAGCCACCGUGCUGGGCCAAAAAUCAAUUUUAAAACGACCACAUGAAAAAUAAAUCUCCUGUAUCACAGAGCAUGUUCUGAGGAAAAUGAAAGCCACAGAUCCAGAAGAUAUUUGUGACACAUAUGAAAAACAAAAACUCAUAUUCAAAACAUACACAGCAUUGCUAUGAAUCAUUAAGAAAAAUGAUUUCGUCUCCUCUACAGGAGCCUGAGUGAAGGACAAGGACAGAUCAUUAUAAACCAGGGAGCUUGAAGAGCUAGUUAACAAGCACAGAAAAUAUGUUCCCCCACACUGUUAAUCAAGAAAAUUAAAACUGUAAUGAGAUGCCGCAUUGUAUCCAUGGGAUUUCUAAAAGUACAAAGUUCCACAAUACCCGUUGUUGACGGAGCAGGGAAACCGCAGGAGCCUGCAGGAGAUGAGAUUGUAAAUGUGCAAGGACAUUUUGGAGAAGAGUUGACAACAUCUCACUCACGUGUAUCAAGCCAAGUGCCGAAAGAAGAAUUGGUUGUCAUAAAGAAAACAGAAACCCAGAAUGGAUGUAGCUUAUCCCUCCGAUGGAAAGUUACAAAGAAGUUAAAAUGAAUGGGCUGCAUCUCUGUGUAACAAUUUGGAUCAAUAUCAAAGACACAUUUGUUAAAGCAAGGUGUACAAUGAAACCUGCAACAUGAUUUGUCUGUUUAGUAAAACACAGAAAAUCUAACUCCGCCUGGCUUACGAACACACACAUGUGUUAGAAUUUGGGAAAAGGAAAGGGAGGGAGGCCGGCUACACGUGAACUUUUGGAAAAUCUCAGAGGGUCUGGGGCACCAGGUGGAGACCAUGGCAGCCUUCAGGGAUAUGAGAAGGAUGUGUUUGCUUCCCCUUCUGCCAUGAUUGGAAGUUUCCUGAGACCCCUCCAGCCAUGCUGAACUGAUUUCCUGAAGACACCAUCCCAGUCAAGUGGUCUGCCUCAUACUGAGCCACCAGACCACCCAGCAUGUCCUCACCCGCGUGGACAGAUGACAGGGGGCUCUGAGCAUGCCCCAGUGCACCUUACGCACCUGUGAAGGUUGGGAGCCUGAGUGCAGCUCCUGUGGCACUGCCCGUGGCCAGGGAGAUGCCUCCUCAGUGCUCCUGACCCUCGGUGGAGGACCGGCCAGCGUGUGUGCCGACAGUGUGUCCACACAGGUGUGCUGCGCCCAAUGGGCAAGUCGGAAACAAAGGAAAAUGCUCUCUGAAGGAAAAGGCAAAGCAAUUUGGAUUUCUGCGAGAAAAUGAGACUGCAUGUGGCACUGUAAAUACCCUUGCUGCUGAACUUCUCGCUCCCCCCAGAUACACCCUUCAUAUUGACAUGUCUAGAACCUUAAACUGAACCAAGUUGAAAAGUGAGAUUAAUUAGGGCUGAGUUAACAGUUAACACAUACAAUGAAAUAUUGAAUAAGGCUUACUGAGCAAACAAGAAUAUACAGAAGUGGAGGAGACAAAGAGGAUAUUAAAAAUGCAGACAGUGAUGAGGCAGAUAGCUGGGACAAAUAAUGAAAAAUAGUAAAGGAGAUAAGGCAGAUAUUGGAGGAGCAAAGAGUCUCUGAAAUAGAUAUCGGUAUUGAAAGAUGCUAAACACGCUUCUAAAGAGACUUUCUAGCCGACACAGGGAGCUCACUGAUGGAUGAAGUAGAAACAUUUUUAAAUGGAAUCAAACAGGGCAAAGCGGGAGAAGAAAAAGAAGUAGGUAAACCAGUAAAUUAACUUUUCUCGUGUGUGCUGUGUACUAUUUGUGAGUGAGCAAUGAACGCUGUGGCUCCCUGGAGGGGCUGUGGUGGGAAGUUUCACUGCGAUCAAGUAGAGGUGGUGCCUUUGGACCUCUUCUCCUGAACCUGCAGGGAGAGGCGCAGAAUAUUCACAAGGUGAAGAUGCAACAAUUCAAAUGAGUGUCCAGGUUUUCAGGGUGGUUGCUAAACCCCAAAAGACCGAUAGCUUCGGGCAAAAGACUGCAGAAAGAACAGCUUUACAUUUUUACGGAAGCAAUGGGAAAUAUACCCUGUAAGCCUUGAAAAAUUCCCGAAGGGAUUCCUGUUCAUUCCUGUGGAUCCUAAUGGGCCAGCAUAGACCUGUUAGUCAAAAGAGGAUUUAUCUACAUUGCACACUCAUUCAGGCAGGCAGGGAAGUCAACGCCACUUUCAGAUGUUUGUAGAGCAUGAACUCUGUCCGUUCCCACGCCCUCCAAAGGCUGUUACACAGGGAUGCCCGCUUCUGGACAGAAGUGAUUCAUGCAGGAUGAGAACCAUGACCACAGAAGAUUUUGUGCAUGUGGUUAUUUCAAUAUUUAAUUUAAGUGUAUGCAUGAGUGUUCAGGAUAAAAAUGCUUGGAGUGUACUUUAAUUCCAUUAAAAAUGUAUACAUUA